Pseudopipra pipra is the source of this 1610-nucleotide long non-coding RNA. RefSeq lists it as uncharacterized. NCBI's taxonomy places the organism in Eukaryota, Metazoa, Chordata, Aves, Passeriformes, Pipridae. The record is from RefSeq and is a predicted model, not a curated record. The transcript is spliced from 4 exons.
AAUUAAUUAGGAAUUUUGCUACUUAGUUAGGAAAUGACUUUGCAUCUGAAUGUUGCUGUGGCUGCUCCGAUUUGCAUUGCCAGCUGAAACACAAAUACCAGAGAGGAUGUGUUACAGAGAUAUAUCAGCUUAUUGCUUUUAGUCGAGUCUAAAUGCCUGCUGCAAGGCAGCAGAAAAGAGAAAGGACAUCUGCAUUAGAAGUGGAUUCUCCAACAGGAGAGACCCUUCUUAGCUGAUGAUAUUAAUGAUGAAAGCUUUUAAUUGAAUAGUUCUGACUAGACCUAGUGAGUGGCUGCACCUACAAAUGAGUUCUCCCAACCAGAGAACUGGGCAAGUAUAUACUUGUAUUCACAUGUAUUUAUUUUUAUUUCAUGUUCGUUACGUAAUUAUUCUUAAUUUAUAAGAAACACGAAUUUUCAAAAGAAAUGAGAAUCCUUACGAUAACCCAAAACUUCUGGGGGUUCCACACCCUGCACCACAAUCAGAUCCAAGCUGAGAACAGGCAGGAAAGAUAAUCUUGAAUGGAGAUAUAAAGAUAAGUCGGUGCCUAUCAGAAGAACGUACAUUAAGCUGCUCUGAGGACAUAUGUACCCGUGGGGGUGUUGGGGAGGGCCCAAAAUUGUGAAUUCCAUUUCACAGAGGCAUUUUCAUAUGUAUGUGGGGAAGCUUUCAGCAGUGUCAGGGAGUGAUCUAUGCCUACUGCCGACAGCAGCAUCGGCACAGCCCAGGCACAGGCACCGCACUGAACUUCCACACUCCUGCACGUGGAACUAUUUUUCAUGGAACUGAUGAAUUCUGCAGCGGCGUUCAGAGCAGUAGGACACAUUAUUGCCGCAAUAUAUGACUAUCAGUAACACCUACAAGCCUUUAAUAUUCUGCAGCUGAACUGGGGAAACAGAAGAAAGUCGCCUGUAAAUGCCUAAUUCACAGGCUCUUGGCUUGUGCUUAUGAUUUCAAGCUUUGCAUUCAGUAAGACCCUAAAGAAAGCUCAAGAAAUGAGCUCCCCAAGAGUCACUUCUCUUGGUGAACUCUCCCAGAACUGGCUCUGCCCAUGCUGACCUUUGGCAAACCUCCAGGGAAGGCAUUCUGGCACCCUUUCCAGCAAUUCUGGGAUCUCCAUGAAUCAGGGGGUUGUAUAAAACCUGAUACUGCUAGAAUGAAAUAACAUCUUCUGACAGUUCCAGCAUGGUAAGUUGAAAACAAACAAGGAGGAACGGAAAUGAGCUACUUUGUAAUCAGCCAAGUCAGAGCAGCAGACGAGCCUGGCUGGCUUGGGUUUCUCUCUGGGAUGCCAUUCAAUGCCACUUCUAUUUCUGAGCACGAUGGGGCAGCCAAGGCUGGAAAUGGAGGGAUUUGAAAAACAACAGGAAGAAAUUCCAUAUCCCCUCCCUGUCCUGUGAAAUGUUACAGGAGCCCCAUGGAUAACUGCUACAGGGCUGCACUGAUCACAGCCUGGGUCUGAACCAGGGGGCAGAGGGUUAAGCCCGAGUUAUUUUGAACAAUACAUUUCACUUUAUUUUCCUGUUUUCCUACUCUGCAGACUUACAUUCUGAGGCUUUACUACUUAAUCCCCACUGUAGUAAUAAAAAUUUUUAAUCCUGUGUUUAAAA